This 242-nucleotide ribosomal RNA is filed under the name uncultured bacterium. RNAcentral describes it as "partial 16S ribosomal RNA". It matches the Rfam family "Bacterial small subunit ribosomal RNA", at positions 15 to 252 of the family's 1533-position model. The record is from RNAcentral.
GAUCAUGGCUCAGGACGAACGCUGGCGGCGCGCCUAACACAUGCAAGUCGAACGAGCGAGAGAGAGCUUGCUUUCUCGAGCGAGUGGCGAACGGGUAAGUAACGCGUGAGGAACCUGCCUCAAAGGGGGGGACAACAGUUGGAAACGACUGCUAAUACCGCAUAAGCCCACGGGUCGGCAUCGACCAGAGGGAAAAGGAGCAAUCCGCUUUGAGAUGGCCUCGCGUCCGAUUAGCUAGUUGG